Molecule: ribosomal RNA, 614 nt
Filed under: Vibrio sp. 1-2-3a
Lineage: Bacteria; Pseudomonadati; Pseudomonadota; Gammaproteobacteria; Vibrionales; Vibrionaceae
Description: bacterial SSU rRNA
Rfam family: Bacterial small subunit ribosomal RNA
Source: RNAcentral
AAAUUGAAGAGUUUGAUCAUGGCUCAGAUUGAACGCUGGCGGCAGGCCUAACACAUGCAAGUCGAGCGGAAACGAGUUAUCUGAACCUUCGGGGGACGAUAACGGCGUCGAGCGGCGGACGGGUGAGUAAUGCCUAGGAAAUUGCCCUGAUGUGGGGGAUAACCAUUGGAAACGAUGGCUAAUACCGCAUGAUGCCUACGGGCCAAAGAGGGGGACCUUAGGGCCUCUCGCGUCAGGAUAUGCCUAGGUGGGAUUAGCUAGUUGGUGAGGUAAGGGCUCACCAAGGCGACGAUCCCUAGCUGGUCUGAGAGGAUGAUCAGCCACACUGGAACUGAGACACGGUCCAGACUCCUACGGGAGGCAGCAGUGGGGAAUAUUGCACAAUGGGCGCAAGCCUGAUGCAGCCAUGCCGCGUGUGUGAAGAAGGCCUUCGGGUUGUAAAGCACUUUCAGUCGUGAGGAAGGCGGCGUCGUUAAUAGCGGCAUCGUUUGACGUUAGCGACAGAAGAAGCACCGGCUAACUCCGUGCCAGCAGCCGCGGUAAUACGGAGGGUGCGAGCGUUAAUCGGAAUUACUGGGCGUAAAGCGCAUGCAGGUGGUUUGUUAAGUCAGAUG